GCGCCCGUAGCUCAGCAGGAUAGAGCGACAGUUUCCUAAACUGUGCGUCGCGGGUUCGAAUCCCGCCGUGGCGCGCCA
This 78-nucleotide transfer RNA is filed under the name Paenibacillus glycanilyticus. RNAcentral's name for it is "tRNA-Arg". It matches the Rfam family "tRNA". From Rfam's summary of the family: Transfer RNA (tRNA) molecules are approximately 80 nucleotides in length. Their secondary structure includes four short double-helical elements and three loops (D, anti-codon, and T loops). Lineage: Bacteria; Bacillati; Bacillota; Bacilli; Caryophanales; Paenibacillaceae. The record is from RNAcentral. RNAcentral also lists the same sequence under 8 other names.